MicroRNA precursor from Gallus gallus (chicken), 57 nucleotides. The record is from Ensembl. NCBI's taxonomy places the organism in Eukaryota, Metazoa, Chordata, Aves, Galliformes, Phasianidae.
CCUGGGCUUGUUCACUCACCAGAGAGGGCAACUUUCUGCAGACACACAAGCCAGAGA